This 253-nucleotide ribosomal RNA is filed under the name uncultured bacterium. RNAcentral describes it as "partial 16S ribosomal RNA". It matches the Rfam family "Bacterial small subunit ribosomal RNA", at positions 524 to 776 of the family's 1533-position model. The record is from RNAcentral.
UACGUAGGGUCCGAGCGUUGUCCGGAAUUAUUGGGCGUAAAGGGCUCGUAGGCGGUUCGUCACGUCGGGAGUGAAAACUCGGGGCUUAACCCCGAGCCUGCUUCCGAUACGGGCAGACUAGAGGUAGGCAGGGGAGAGCGGAACUCCUGGUGUAGCGGUGGAAUGCGCAGAUAUCAGGAAGAACACCCGUGGCGAAGGCGGUUCUCUGGAACGCAACUGACGCUGAGACGCGAAAGCGUGGGGAGCAAACAGG